UUGUUGAUUGCUUGUUUCCAUUUUGUGGUUCAGAGUCUGAAAUCAAGGGGUAUUUGGUUUUCUGGCUGUCACAACGAUAGCUUGGCGCCUAUUUUCACUCCUCCGCGUUCGGUGUCUGAGGUUGAACUUGAUCUUCCAUGCCAGACUCAGCAUGAUGAUAUUCCUGUGCAGAGUUUUACUCUUGAAAAAACUAAGGAAGCUUUUGAUGUUGCUAGAAACAGCAUUGAGCUUCUUUCUACUGUGUUGUCUUUUCCACAACAAGAUGUCUUGCAGGUUUAUCCAAAAGUUGCUGAAUCAUUGGCUGAGCCUGAGGAAUAUCCAAAUUUAUUUGAAGACUGGUAAGUUGCACUUGUUGUUGAAUCUAAGGCUGCAGAAACAAGGAAUGUUUACCCUCCUGCGGAGCAGUACAUUAGCCAUGCAGAUAAAUCACAUAUAUAAGCCUUGUUGAACCUUUUAGAAGCAUGCAGAUUGAAGAAGGCGAGGAGCCUCUUGAGAAUGGAGACUCUAACCAUGAGAAUGGAGAAGAGCAGUAUACAGAGGCACAGGAGGAGCAUAAUGGAGAGGAAGGAAGCCAGGAAGAGGCAGUUGUAGUGGAUGCCAAUUCCACAGAUGGUGCAGUACUCGUUAAUGGUAAUGAGGUUGAAGAAGAGUGGGGUACGAAUAAUGAAGGAGGCCCGUCAGCCUAAAAGCAAUUAGUUAGGGUGGUGUGAAAAUCAAAAUUUUGUCUCUGUGCUUUCGCCACGUCACUAGGUCCCAUCAAGACAGUCAGUUCCAGCUUCUGGGCUGUUUGUCUGAGAUGAGAUCUCUAAAGGUGGAUUCUCAAAUGAUUGUCUCUCUUCAAACAAUUCUGUAUUCUGGUUUUCCAAGGCCACCUUUGAAAGAUUUGUGUGAUCUGUUAGCACACCUGCAAUUUUGGAGAGGUUCGUCAGCCUUGAAAAAGAAAUCCUGCAAAUUGAAAGUUCAUUUCAAGAAAAUGCUUUGUCGAUGUCCAGUGCAUCUUCCGAUGAGGGAACUGCGCCACAAGCCAAUGGAAUUACAAGGAGGUUGACUAAUUCUGCAAAGGAGGUUCAAGCUUUAGCUAAGGAGGCAGCUGAAACAAUGGUUUUGGGUCAUUGAUGAGGAAGGUGUGGAGUCACUCAUAUCAGAACUUGUGAAAGGUGUAAAUGAGCCAAGGCUGCUUUGGUUUUAACACAAGAACUGUUUCCUUGUUCUUUAAAUCACAAAUUUUGACUUUUUCUUUUCCUGCAGCUUUGAGA
This is a long non-coding RNA of Arachis duranensis, 1256 nucleotides long. RefSeq lists it as uncharacterized. The transcript is spliced from 9 exons. The record is from RefSeq and is a predicted model, not a curated record. NCBI's taxonomy places the organism in Eukaryota, Viridiplantae, Streptophyta, Magnoliopsida, Fabales, Fabaceae.